RNAcentral lists this transfer RNA (76 nucleotides) under Gammaproteobacteria bacterium. RNAcentral describes it as "tRNA-Thr". It matches the Rfam family "tRNA". From Rfam's summary of the family: Transfer RNA (tRNA) molecules are approximately 80 nucleotides in length. The record is from RNAcentral. RNAcentral also lists the same sequence under 2 other names. Lineage: Bacteria; Pseudomonadati; Pseudomonadota; Gammaproteobacteria.
GCCGGCGUAGCUCAGUUGGUAGAGCAACUGAUUCGUAAUCAGUAGGUCGGAGGUUCGAGUCCUCUCGCCGGCACCA